RNAcentral lists this ribosomal RNA (406 nucleotides) under uncultured bacterium. RNAcentral's name for it is "partial 16S ribosomal RNA". It matches the Rfam family "Bacterial small subunit ribosomal RNA", at positions 30 to 526 of the family's 1533-position model. The record is from RNAcentral.
AUUGAACGCUGGCGGCAGGCCUAACACAUGCAAGUCGAACGAGUGGCGGACGGGUGAGUAAUGUCUGGGCAACUGCCCGAUGGAGGGGGCUAACUACUGGAAACGGUAGCUAAUACCGCAUACCAUCGGAUGUGCCCAGAUGGGAUUAGCUAGUAGGUGGGGUAACGGCUCACCUAGGCGCCUAUCCCUAGCUGGUCUGAGAGGAUGACCGGCCACACUGGAACAGAGACACGGUCCAGACUCCUACGGUAGGCAGCAGGGGGGAAUAUUGCACAAUGGGCGAAAGCCUGAUACAGCCAUGCCGAGUGUAUGAAGAAGGCCUUCGGGUUGUAAAGUACUUUCAGCGGGGAGGCGUUACCCGCAGAAGAAGCACCGGCUAACUCCGUGCCAGCAGCCGCGGUAAUAC